Long non-coding RNA from Homo sapiens (human), 2590 nucleotides. RefSeq lists it as uncharacterized. The record is from RefSeq and is marked validated. NCBI's taxonomy places the organism in Eukaryota, Metazoa, Chordata, Mammalia, Primates, Hominidae. The transcript is spliced from 5 exons.
GUUGGCAGCGGCUCGGCGCGCACCCAACGGCCCACCGCGGGUUUCCGGGACGGCUAGCAGCGCGGUUCCCGGUCCCGCCCCGAACCCCCUUACCUGGCGCAGAGGCCGCUCAGUGCGGUGCGGUCAGGCCUCGUGGGCUGGGACCUAAGCCGUUGACCCUAAGGCGAUCGGGGCUCCCCGCGCGGCCCCCCCGGGGGACGGGAUUAACGCCUAAGCCCCAAGCCGGGUCGGCGGGAGGAGGGCGGCCCUCUGGGCGAGCGCGGGGCCGGGGCUGGCGGUGCGGAGCGCACGGGACUCGCCCGCUUCUCAGGGUCUGAAGGAAAUGUGCACUUUUAAUGUGUUAUUUCCUAACACAAAUGUUUGAGCAGACCAAAUAAACUCUGCAUGCUGAAUGUGGCCCCGAGGUCCCCCGUUGGUGACACGGCUUUCGGCAUUUUCUCGGCCUGAGUGUGAGAGUGAGAGGAGCCCGCGUGGCGGUCACCGGCUGGAGCGGGAGCGUGGAGUUAUCACGGCCGCCUCUGCCCGGAGCCCGCCCCUGCCCCGCGGCUGUGCCCCUUCACCCGCACGCCGACUGUUCCAAAGUCCACGUCCAGCCUGCAGCCGGGUUUUCUAUGGUGCCUGAGCUAAGAAUGCUUUUCUCGUUUUUAAGAGGUUGGGGGAGAAUUAAAACAGUAUUUUAGCAUAUAUGAAAAGUAUAUGACAUUCAAAUAUCGGCCGGGCACGGUGGCUCACGCCUGUAAUCCCUGCACUUUGGGAGGCCGAGGCGGGUGGAUCACCUGAGAUCAGGAGUUCGAGACCAGCCUGGCCAACAUGGAGAAACCCCGUCUCUACUGAAAAAAAAUAAAAAAUUAGCCAGACGUGGUGGUGGGCUCCUGUAAUCCCAGAUACUCGGGAGACUGAGGCAGAAGAAUCGCUUGAACCCGGGAGGCAGAGGUUGCAGUGAGCCGAGAUCGCGCCACUGCACUCCAGUCUGGGUGACAGAGCAAGACUCCGUCUCCAAAAAAAAAUUAAAUUAAAAUGUCGGUUUCCUAAGGAGUUCAACUGGAACACCACCAUGCUUGUUCAUGUAGUUAAAAGUCUGCAAGUGCUUGGUACAUACACAGAUGGUAUUUAUUUGCUGUUUGUCUUAAAUUGCAUUCUUAUGCAUCAUAGAGACUGCGAUAAGGAGAAGAAAAAAUAUUUUCUACAGGACCAUCCAAACAUCUAUUAUGAGAAAUACCACUGCGAUGAGUCUUCACAUACAAGUGUCAGGUGCACCAUUUGACGGUCCCACCAGCAGCAUGAGAGAGUUCCAGUGUCUCCACAUCCUCGUCAACACUCACUACCUGACUUUUUGGGUCUAGCUCUCCAGGCCAGGAAGCCGAACCAAAUCCACCUCCCUCAGGUGUGCCCGCGGGACCUGUGUGUGUGCAAGUUUCUAUCUUCCAGAAGGUUCCAGUGUCUGCCAUGGCUCUUGGCCUGCCAGGAAGUAUCCUUCUUACUACUUGUGAGGCUGAGGCUUUGUGUGCCAGAGUACAGGUGCCCGGCCAGUAUGGGUCUGAGGGUUGUGUGGGCAUUGGUUCAGCACACAAGCCACAACCCUUGUUCCUUAAAGGUGGGCGUGUUGUGGAAGCACAGGAAAGUUAUUCUCAAAUAUGACACCCAUGUAAGGCCUGGGCUCCACUAUUAAUUUGUCUGAUUAUAUCCUGGUGACAAGGAGGACAAAUUUCUACUGCAACAAUGCAAAUUACUACGUUUUUAUUAAAAGUAAAUGUCAGUAAAACUAUUUUUCCUGAAUUCUGAAGUGAGAAAAACACCAUUUAAAGAACGUUUUAAUGUUUGUGAAAGGAUAGUCUCCUAAAGUAGAUUGUUGCAGAUACCGGGUAAAAAUAAAAAUUAAAUAAAUUAAAGGUGAGAUAGAUCAAAGAAGAAGGGUUUUGUCUUAUUCCUGCCAGAAACAGAAUAUCAGAAACAACAUGAGCAUCCUCCUCCUUGCCUUUUCUUGGGCUGUGCUUUCAGCCUGCAGAUAUAACCAUUCUGGAGAGCAGUGAUGCCCCCAGAACCGCAUUUUUGGCUGGUGCAAAAUGGGGGGCAGUGGUUGUGUCUGGGGCCAAGUUUCUGUCCUGUAUAGCCUAGAGAUGGUUAUGUAGCGGGGGACUGAGCUACUAAGUGAAGGCAUAGAUAGUUAUGUAGAAACAGAGGAGGGUAGAAUCAACUCCAUGCUAGAUUGUAACUGGAGGUACAGGUAUCAGUAUGAACUCAAGGUUUGCUAAGAGGUAUCAGAAAAGAUAUGGGUGUGUGUGUGUGUGUGUGUGUGUGUGUGUGUGUGUGUGUGUGUGUGUUUGUACAUACUUAUUUCCUAGCUCUGUCUGCUGAGUGUAAAUGGAAUCAUAUUCUGUAAUCUUUUGAGAUUUCUUUCUUCCAUUUAAAAUUAUGUGUUUGAGAUUUGGCCGUGUUGGUGGUGGAAUUCAUUCAUUUCUGUUGCUGUGUGCUAUUCCAUUGCGUGGAUACACCUCACUUUGUCCAUUUUACCGUCCUUUGAUAUUUAAGAUUUCUCCCAGUAUUUGCUAUUAAAAACAGCGUUAAAAUAAAAAAAAAAAAACACCAAAAA